AUGAACGCUGGCGGCGUGCCUAAUACAUGCAAGUCGAGCGAACAGACGAGGAGCUUGCUCCUCUGACGUUAGCGGCGGACGGGUGAGUAACACGUGGAUAACCUACCUAUAAGACUGGGAUAACUUCGGGAAACCGGAGCUAAUACCGGAUAAUAUAUUGAACCGCAUGGUUCAAUAGUGAAAGACGGUUUUGCUGUCACUUAUAGAUGGAUCCGCGCCGCAUUAGCUAGUUGGUAAGGUAACGUCUUACCAAGGCAACGAUGCGUAGCCGACCUGAGAGGGUGAUCGGCCACACUGGAACUGAGACACGGUCCAGACUCCUACGGGAGGCAGCAGUAGGGAAUCUUCCGCAAAGGGCGAAAGCCUGACGGAGCAACGCCGCGUGAGUGAUGAAGGUCUUCGGAUCGUAAAACUCUGUUAUUAGGGAAGAACAAAUGUGUAAGUAACUAUGCACGUCUUGACGGUACCUAAUCAGAAAGCCACGGCUAACUACGUG
RNAcentral lists this ribosomal RNA (496 nucleotides) under uncultured bacterium. Its description in RNAcentral is "partial 16S ribosomal RNA". It matches the Rfam family "Bacterial small subunit ribosomal RNA", at positions 29 to 507 of the family's 1533-position model. The record is from RNAcentral.